AUUGAACGCUGGCGGCAGGCUUAACACAUGCAAGUCGAGCGGGGGAAGGUAGCUUGCUACCGGACCUAGCGGCGGACGGGUGAGUAAUGCUUAGGAAUCUGCCUAUUAGUGGGGGACAACAUCUCGAAAGGGAUGCUAAUACCGCAUACGUCCUACGGGAGAAAGCAGGGGAUCUUCGGACCUUGCGCUAAUAGAUGAGCCUAAGUCGGAUUAGCUAGUUGGUGGGGUAAAGGCCUACCAAGGCGACGAUCUGUAGCGGGUCUGAGAGGAUGAUCCGCCACACUGGGACUGAGACACGGCCGGGACUCCUACGGGAGGCAGUAGUGGGGAAUAUUGGACAAUGGGGGGAACCCUGAUCCAGCCAUGCCGCGUGUGUGAAGAAGGCCCUAUGGUUGUAAAGCACUUUAAGCGAGGAGGAGGCUACUCUAGUUAAUACCUAGGGAUAGUGGACGUUACUCGCAGAAUAAGCACCGGCUAACUCUGUGCCAGCAGCCGCCGUAA
This 501-nucleotide ribosomal RNA is filed under the name uncultured bacterium. RNAcentral describes it as "partial 16S ribosomal RNA". It matches the Rfam family "Bacterial small subunit ribosomal RNA", at positions 30 to 523 of the family's 1533-position model. The record is from RNAcentral.